RNAcentral lists this ribosomal RNA (1041 nucleotides) under bacterium. RNAcentral describes it as "partial 23S ribosomal RNA". It matches the Rfam family "Bacterial large subunit ribosomal RNA", at positions 1162 to 2199 of the family's 2925-position model. The record is from RNAcentral.
CGCCGCAGAUGUAUAGGGGCUCAAGCUUGAUACCGAAGAUAAGAAUUCUUCCGCCUUUGGCGGAGGAGUGGUAGGGGAGCGUCUUCAUUAGCUGUGAAGCUUAACCGGAAGGUUAGGUGGAGCAAUGAGGAGUGAGAAUGUUGGCAUGAGUAACCGCAAUGGCAGUGAAAGCCUGCCACACCGAAAACCCAAGGUUUCCUUGGCAAUGAUAAUCAUCCAAGGGUUAGGCGGUCCUAACCUCGCGCCAGAAUAUGGCGAAGGGAUGGACAGGAGGUUAAUAUUCCUCCCCCUUGUUCCAUGCUUCUUUGGAAUGACGAAGAGUAGUAGCUCGGGCGAGUUAUCGGAUUUUUGUUCGUAGUAUAGCCCUCCUUGCCGCAAGGCGAGUUGGGGAGUAUCGCGACAACCCUGGUGCAAACUAGGGAAGCCGAGUGAGCACUCUUCCAGGAAAAGUACCAAAGAUAUGAGUGGAAUGAGUCCGUACCGUAAACCGACACAGGUGGGUUGGCGUAAGUGCGCCAAGGUGAACGUGUGAAAGCUCCUGAAGGAACUCGGCAAAAAAGUGGUCGUAACUUCGGGAUAAGAUCUGCCCCAAGCCCGCAAGGGUGAGGGGCCGCAGCUACCGUUUCUCAAGCGACUGUUUAUCAAAAACACAGGUCUCUGCUCAAUUCGUAAGAGGAUGUAUAGAGGCCGACACCUGACCAGUGCUGGAGUGUUAAUCCUGCCGGUUCCUGCCGCAAGGUGGGCAGCUGAGUGGGUGAAGCCCCAGUGAACGUCCGCGAUAACUAUAAUCGUGUUAAAGUAGCGUAACCCCUUGCCUCGUAAGUUGAGGGCCGCAUGAAAGGUGUCACGACUUGAGAACUGUCUCCAGGAGCAGCACGGUGAAGAUGCAACACCGGUAAAGAUGCCGGUUACCUGCGGAUAGACGGAAAGACCCCGGGAGCUUUACUGUAGCUUCUCAUUGUCUUAUCAUUUCGGAUGCGUAGCGUAGCGGGCAGGCUUUGAAGUUCCUCUCUCGGGAGGGAUGGAGCCGACCCUGAAACA